ACGGAAGGCAGCAGUGGGGAAUAUUGCACAAUGGGCGAAAGCCUGAUGCAGCGACGCCGCGUGAGUGAAGAAGUAUCUCGGUAUGUAAAGCUCUAUCGGCAGGGAAGAAAAUGACGGUACCUGACUAAGAAGCCCCGGCUAACUACGUGCCAGCAGCCGCGGUAAUACGUAGGGGGCAAGCGUUAUCCGGAUUUACUGGGUGUAAAGGGAGCGUAGACGGUUUGGCAAGUCUGAAGUGAAAUGCGGGGGCUCAACUCCUGAACUGCUUUGGAAACUGUCGAACUAGAGUGCAGGAGAGGUAAGUGGAAUUCCUAGUGUAGCGGUGAAAUGCGUAGAUAUUAGGAGGAACACCAGUGGCGAAGGCGGCUUACUGGACUGUAACUGACGUUGAGGCUCGAAAGCGUGGGGAGCAAACAGGAUUAGAUACCCUGGUA
This 434-nucleotide ribosomal RNA is filed under the name uncultured Lachnospiraceae bacterium. Its description in RNAcentral is "partial 16S ribosomal RNA". It matches the Rfam family "Bacterial small subunit ribosomal RNA", at positions 341 to 792 of the family's 1533-position model. The record is from RNAcentral. Lineage: Bacteria; Bacillati; Bacillota; Clostridia; Lachnospirales; Lachnospiraceae.